Molecule: ribosomal RNA, 253 nt
Filed under: uncultured bacterium
Lineage: Bacteria
Description: partial 16S ribosomal RNA
Rfam family: Bacterial small subunit ribosomal RNA
Source: RNAcentral
UACGUAGGGUGCGAGCGUUAAUCGGAAUUACUGGGCGUAAAGCGUGCGCAGGCGGUUCGUUGUGUCGGCGGUGAAAGCCCCGGGCUCAACCUGGGAAUGGCCGUUGAAACUGGCGAACUGGAGUGUGGCAGAGGGGGGUGGAAUUCCACGUGUAGCAGUGAAAUGCGUAGAGAUGUGGAGGAACACCGAUGGCGAAGGCAGCCCCCUGGGCUAACACUGACGCUCAUGCACGAAAGCGUGGGGAGCAAACAGG